UGCAAAAGAUUGACAGAUUGAUAGCUCUUUCUCGAUUCUGUGGGUGGUGGUACAUGACUGUUCUUAGUUGGUGGAGCGACUUGUCUGGUUAAUUCCCAUAAUGAACAAGACUCUGGCAUGCUAACUAGUUACGUGACCCUCGAGCAGUCGGUGUCCAGCUUCUUAGAGGGACAAGUGGCGUUCAGCCACCCGAGAUUGAGCAAUAACAGGUCUUUUAAUUA
This 221-nucleotide non-coding RNA is filed under the name Pelodiscus sinensis (Chinese soft-shelled turtle). RNAcentral's name for it is "Eukaryotic small subunit ribosomal RNA". It matches the Rfam family "Eukaryotic small subunit ribosomal RNA", at positions 1231 to 1469 of the family's 1831-position model. Lineage: Eukaryota; Metazoa; Chordata; Testudines; Trionychidae. The record is from Rfam by way of RNAcentral.